Molecule: ribosomal RNA, 845 nt
Filed under: uncultured bacterium
Lineage: Bacteria
Description: bacterial SSU rRNA
Rfam family: Bacterial small subunit ribosomal RNA
Source: RNAcentral
CAAGUCGAACGGUAAGGCCCUUCGGGGUACACGAGUGGCGAACGGGUGAGUAACACGCGGGUGAUCUGCCCUGCACUUUGGGAUAAGCCUGGGAAACUGGGUCUAAUACCGAAUACACCCUGCUGGCCGCAUGGUCUGGUGGGGGAAAGCUUUUGCGGUGUGGGAUGGGCCCGCGGCCUAUCAGCUUGUUGGUGGGGUGAUGGCCUACCAAGGCGACGACGGGUAGCCGGCCUGAGAGGGUGUCCGGCCACACUGGGACUGAGAUACGGCCCAGACUCCUACAGGAGGCAGCAGUGGGGAAUAUUGCACAAUGGGCGCAAGCCUGAUGCAGCGACGCCGCGUGAGGGAUGACGGCCUUCGGGUUGUAAACCUCUUUCACCAGGGACGAAGCGCAAGUGACGGUACCUGGAGAAGAAGCACCGGCCAACUACGUGCCAGUAGCCGCGGUAAUACGUAGGGUGCGAGCGUUGUCCGGAAUUACUGGGCGUAAAGAGCUCGUAGGUGGUUUGUCGCGUUGUUCGUGAAAUCUCACGGCUUAACUGUGAGCGUGCGGGCGAUACGGGCAGACUGGAGUACUGCAGGGGAGACUGGAAUUCCUGGUGUAGCGGUGGAAUGCGCAGAUAUCAGGAGGAACACCGGUGGCGAAGGCGGGUCUCUGGGCAGUAACUGACGCUGAGGAGCGAAAGCGUGGGGAGCGAACAGGAUUAGAUACCCUGGUAGUCCACGCCGUAAACGGUGGGUACUAGGUGUGGGUUUCCUUCCUUGGGAUCCGUGCCGUAGCUAACGCAUUAAGUACCCCGCCUGGGGAGUACGGCCGCAAGGCUAAAACUCAAAGAAAUUGACGG